This 437-nucleotide ribosomal RNA is filed under the name uncultured bacterium. RNAcentral's name for it is "bacterial SSU rRNA". It matches the Rfam family "Bacterial small subunit ribosomal RNA", at positions 28 to 447 of the family's 1533-position model. The record is from RNAcentral.
GAUGAACGCUGGCGGCGUGCUUAACACAUGCAAGUCGAGCGAAGCGCUUAAGUCUGAUUCUUCGGAUGAAGACUUUUGUGACUGAGCGGCGGACGGGUGAGUAACGCGUGGGUAACCUGCCUCAUACAGGGGGAUAACAGUUAGAAAUGACUGCUAAUACCGCAUAAGACCACGGUACCGCAUGGUGCAGUGGUAAAAACUCCGGUGGUAUGAGAUGGACCCGCGUCUGAUUAGGUAGUUGGUGGGGUAACGGCCUACCAAGCCGACGAUCAGUAGCCGACCUGAGAGGGUGACCGGCCACAUUGGGACUGAGACACGGCCCAGACUCCUGCGGGAGGCAGCAGUGGGGAAUAUUGCACAAUGGAGGAAACUCUGAUGCAGCGACGCCGCGUGAAGGAUGAAGUAUUUCGGUAUGUAAACUUCUAUCAGCAGGGAAG